This 468-nucleotide ribosomal RNA is filed under the name uncultured bacterium. Its description in RNAcentral is "partial 16S ribosomal RNA". It matches the Rfam family "Bacterial small subunit ribosomal RNA", at positions 28 to 507 of the family's 1533-position model. The record is from RNAcentral.
GACGAACGCUGGCGGCGCGCCUAACACAUGCAAGUCGAACGGAGCUGAGAGAAGCUUGCUUUUCUUAGCUUAGUGGCGAACGGGUGAGUAACGCGUGAGUAACCUGCUCUGGAGUGGGGGACAACCGGUGGAAACGACUGCUAAUACCGCAUAAGCCCACGAUCCGGCAUCGGAUUGGGGGAAAAGGAUUUAUUCGCUUCAGGAUGGACUCGCGUCCACUUAGCUCGUUGGUGAGGUAACGGCCCACCAAGGCGACGAUUGGUAGCCGGACUGAGAGGUUGAGCCGACACAUUGGGACUGAGACACGGCCCAGAAUCCUACGGGAUGCAGGAGUGGGGGAUAUUGCAACAUGGCGGAAACCCUGAUGCAGCGACGCCGGGUGGAGGAAGAUGGUUUUCGGAUUGUAAACUCCUGUCGUUAGGGACGAUAAUGACGGUACCUAACAAGAAAGCACCGGCUAACUACGUG